GGAUCAUUCAGCAGCUGUGGAACUUUUUCUAUUCUGCCAGAAUGUUCAUGGGCUCCUCUGCCUGCAGUUGCAGCAUGAAGACCGCCUGAAGGCAGAGAGCGGCGGAGUCAUCAGGAAGGGGAACCCUCUCCAGGGCCCUAGAGUGGGCUCACACGUGCUGACAAAGCAAGAGACUUGGCUGGAGGGGCGCC
Molecule: long non-coding RNA, 191 nt
Organism: Capra hircus (goat)
Lineage: Eukaryota; Metazoa; Chordata; Mammalia; Artiodactyla; Bovidae
Exons: 3
Source: RefSeq, a predicted model, not a curated record